UACGUAGGUGGCGAGCGUUCUCCGGAUUUACUGGGUGUAAAGGGUGAGUAGGCGGGAAGUCAAGUCAGAUGUGAAAUGCCGCGGCUUAACUGCGGAACUGCAUUUGAAACUGAUUUUCUUGAGAGUCGGAGAGGCAAUCGGAAUUCCUAGUGUAGCGGUGAAAUGCGUAGAUAUUAGGAGGAACACCAGUGGCGAAGGCGGAUUGCUGGACGACAACUGACGCUGAGACACGAAAGCGUGGGGAGCAAACAGG
RNAcentral lists this ribosomal RNA (253 nucleotides) under uncultured bacterium. RNAcentral's name for it is "partial 16S ribosomal RNA". It matches the Rfam family "Bacterial small subunit ribosomal RNA", at positions 524 to 776 of the family's 1533-position model. The record is from RNAcentral.